RNAcentral lists this ribosomal RNA (460 nucleotides) under uncultured bacterium. Its description in RNAcentral is "partial 16S ribosomal RNA". It matches the Rfam family "Bacterial small subunit ribosomal RNA", at positions 338 to 795 of the family's 1533-position model. The record is from RNAcentral.
CCUACGGGGGGCUGCAGUGAGGAAUAUUGGUCAAUGGACGAGAGUCUGAACCAGCCAAGUAGCGUGAAGGAUGACUGCCCUAUGGGUUGUAAACUUCUUUUAUAAAGGAAUAAAACGAGGCACGUGUGCCUUUUUGCAUGUACUUUAUGAAUAAGGAUCGGCUAACUCCGUGCCAGCAGCCGAGGUAAUACGGAGGAGCCGAGCGUUAUCCGGAUUUGUUGGGUUUAAAGGGAGCGUAGAUGGGUUGUUAAGUCAGUUGUGAAAGUUUGCGGCUCAACCGUAAAAUUGCAAUUGAUACUGGCAGUCUUGAGUACAGUUGAGGUAGGCGGAAUUCGUGGUGUAGCGGUGAAAUGCUUAGAUAUCACGAAGAACCCCGAUUGCGAAGGCAGCUUACUAAACUGCCACUGACAUUGAUGCGCGAAAGUGUGGGUAUCAAACAGGAUUAGAUACCCUAGUAGUC